Molecule: ribosomal RNA, 438 nt
Filed under: uncultured bacterium
Lineage: Bacteria
Description: partial 16S ribosomal RNA
Rfam family: Bacterial small subunit ribosomal RNA
Source: RNAcentral
CUACGGGGUGCACCAGUGAGGAAUAUUGCACAAUGGGGGGAACCCUGAUACAGCAACGCCGCGUGGAGGAUGACGCAUUUCGGUGUGUAAACUCCUUUUAUAUGUCAAGAAAAUGACGGUAGCAUAUGAAUAAGCACCGGCUAACUCCGUGCCAGCAGCCGCGGUAAUACGGAGGGUGCAAGCGUUACUCGGAAUCACUGGGCGUAAAGGACGCGUAGGCGGGUUGGAAAGUCAGGUGUGAAAUCCUACAGCUUAACUGUAGAACUGCACUUGAAACUUCUAAUCUAGAGUAUGGGAGGGGGGGAUGGAAUUAGUGGUGUAGGGGUAAAAUCCGUAGAUAUCACUAGGAAUACCUAAAGCGAAGGCGAUCUCCUGGAACAUUACUGACGCUAAGGCGUGAAAGCGUGGGAGCAAACAGGAUUAGAUACCCUUGUAGUC